UAGUAUUCUAUAGCCAGAGCGUAAAUGCGCGGCGAUAAACCCUACACACAUAGUCUAGUUUUUUUGAAAUUUGCUUUGGGUGCAUCAGCCCAGGUGCGCGCCCAAAGGUUUAAACACAUUUUUUUUAAUGUUAAAACCUUUAACCAAUAGUCAUGAAAAUUUUUAACAAAAAUUAAAAUCUUCAAAACUUUCAACAACGGAUCUCUUGGUUCUCGCAACGAUGAAGAACGCAGCGAAAUGCGAUACGUAUUGUGAAUUGCAGAUUUUCGUGAAUCAUCGAAUCUUUGAACGCACAUUGCACCCUCUGGUAUUCCAGAGGGUAUGCCUGUUUGAGCGUCAUUUCUCUCUCAAACCUUCGGGUUUGGUAUUGAGUGAUACUCUGUCAAGGGUUAACUUGAAAUAUUGACUUAGCAAGAGUGUACUAAUAAGCAGUCUUUCUGAAAUAAUGUAUUAGGUUCUUCCACUCGUUAUAUCAGCUAGGCAGGUUUAGAAGUAUUUUAGGCUCGGCUUAACAACAAUAAACUAAAAGUUGACCUCAAAUCAGUUAGGAAUGCCCGGUGGCUUAUCAAUAAGCGGAGGA
Molecule: ribosomal RNA, 580 nt
Filed under: Hansenula anomala
Lineage: Eukaryota; Fungi; Ascomycota; Saccharomycetes; Phaffomycetales; Wickerhamomycetaceae
Description: eukaryotic LSU rRNA
Rfam family: 5.8S ribosomal RNA (bases 186-339)
Source: RNAcentral